Molecule: unclassified non-coding RNA, 1037 nt
Filed under: Hevea brasiliensis (rubber tree)
Lineage: Eukaryota; Viridiplantae; Streptophyta; Magnoliopsida; Malpighiales; Euphorbiaceae
Source: RNAcentral
UUGAAAAUCUCAUUUUGCAGUUAUAACAGCUACUUGAAAGAUAAAUAAGUGCUACCCCAAGGGCUUACCUCAAGGGCAAAUGUGUUUGAAAGAAAUGAAUUAACACUGCAUUUGGAUUCAUGAACUUGGAUUUGGAUUACAUACCUUGUUUGGGAGGUUUAUAAAAAUAUGAAUUUGAAUUUCAAUAAGAUUCAAGAUGAAUAUUAAGAUUCAAAAAAUUAAGUAUUUGAAAUAAUAAUAUUAACUGUUAUUUUAAAUUCAAAUUCAUCCCAACAAAAAACAAUAAAUUCAGGACUUGAAAUUCUUUUCAUUAAGCAAACAAGAAAUUUUUGAAUUUAUGAUAUUUGACAUUCAAAUUUUAAAUCUAAAUCCAAACACAAGCUAAACUGUUUUGUUAAUAACAUUCUUUCCUUGCUGAAGAAAAGAGAAGAACAUGAAAGCAAACUUCUUUUCCUGAUGUUCCAAGGAAAUAAGUUGUUCCUUCUAAUGUUACGUAAUAUGUAACAUAUCCAAGGAAUAAAUUGUUCCUUCAAAUUUCUGUAUUGAUGUCUGCAUAAGGUUUAAGUCGUUUGGUGUGAAUAACCACCCUUCAUUCAAUUGUAGGCUCAUAGAAAUUUUGUUUUUUUUGUUGUUCUCUGGAAACAUGUUAAGGAUGAGUUGUGCUAAGAUUAGUGGCAUUUAUACUUUGAUUUCUUGGAGAAAUUUGCUUAUUAUAAUAUAGACAUUAGAUUUAGAGUUGAAAGAUUCCUUAUUAUAAUACAAGUCCUAUUUUAAUAUAAUUUUCAAUUGGAUAAUGCAAAAGAAGGUAAAGAAAUCAAGCAUUGACGACCCCUGUGGCCAGUUGGUGUGGGGCAGGAAUAGCUUCCCACUUCCUUUUAUUUGCAUUCAAAAUUUUUUUUUUGGUGCUUGUCUUGUGCUUUUGAAUUCUAUGAGAGUAUGGCGUUUCAGCUCCUCCCAACCUGUCCAUUGCUUUUGUGCUAACACUUACUGUAUUUUACUUCAAAUCUUCUUCAGGAUCAGACGAAAAGUGGAGCCAG